RNAcentral lists this ribosomal RNA (497 nucleotides) under uncultured bacterium. RNAcentral's name for it is "partial 16S ribosomal RNA". It matches the Rfam family "Bacterial small subunit ribosomal RNA", at positions 28 to 507 of the family's 1533-position model. The record is from RNAcentral.
GAUGAACGCUGGCGGCGUGCUUAACACAUGCAAGUCGAGCGGACAGAUGCCGAGCUUGCUUGUCGGACGUUAGCCGCGGACGUAAUACAACCACGUGUAUCACCUGCCUGUGAGUCUGGGAUCGCUACGGGAGACCGUAGCGCAUGCGAGCUAAUAUAGUGAGCGGCAUAGUUCGAUGGUAAGUUUCGGCUUUGCUGUCUCUUGUAGCUGAUUCCGCGCCGGAUUAGCUAGUUGGUAAGGUAACGGCUUACCAAGGCGACGAUGCGUAGCCGAUCUGAGAGGAUGAUCGGCCACACUGGAACUGAGACACGGUCCAGACUCCUACGGGAGGCAGCAGUAGGGAAUCUUCCGCAAUGGGCGAAAGCCUGACGGAGCAACGCCGCGUGAGUGAUGAAGGUCUUCGGAUCGUAAAACUCUGUUAUUAGGGACGAACAGAUGUGGACGUAACUAUGGACGUCUUGACGGUACCGAAUGAGAAAGCCACGGCUAACUACGUG